Long non-coding RNA from Melospiza melodia melodia, 901 nucleotides. RefSeq lists it as uncharacterized. The transcript is spliced from 4 exons. Lineage: Eukaryota; Metazoa; Chordata; Aves; Passeriformes; Passerellidae. The record is from RefSeq and is a predicted model, not a curated record.
GGGGAAAGCCUAUGGGAGAAUGUGUUGUCGUUAUAUUACAAAGGUUCUAUUAUCAUUACAUUACAAAGGUUCCAUAUUGCCAGAGUUCCAUACCUCCUUGAUGUUUCUUGUAGGCAGUUCCUCCAGGCACUGACUCUUCCUUGUCCUCACAGCAGCCACUGACUCCAGUUCCCCUCAGCCACCCAAUCCACUCUUUUAUAACACUCUGCUGACUGGCUGCAGCUGCGGCCUGUUAGCAUCAGGCCUGCUCCUAAUCCUUAGUAAUUGGCUCAGCUGCAACUCUUUAGGGGGUAUGUGUGGUACUGUACUAAACCCUCUGUGGUUUCUGCAUAAAUGAGGCAAGGCCAAAGAUGACUGCUCCAAGUGAGAGAAGAUACUCCAAGAAAAGUACCUCUGCUCUCCUAACUGCUGACUACACACAAGAGCAGGAACUGCAGGUGUUUUCUUCAACACAAGGAAAAGCGCUGAAAAGGAGUGGAAAAGGGAUGGAGGUGGCUCUUGUGCUUGUGAGUCAGCUCUUACCAGGGGCACGGGGAGAUGAAGGGUCUCCAUCAGGGUCAAGGUGUGACCCCAUGAACUCAUCCCAGGGUCAUGUCUGUCUCCUGUACACUGAGCAGGGACCAGCUCCUGCAGCACUGCAUCCCUGCCUGGGUGUGAUUCUUGGCAGCUCAUGGAUUUGCUUUUCAUCUCCUCAAAGCAGCAGGAGAACAACAGUGGGUUUAUAAGCCCAGAGGAAAUUGUCCACCAAGUUUUGAAUCCCUGGCAGAGGACUCUAGCUGUAAUCAUGGCAGGAUGAGGGGAAAUCAGAGCCCUGCUUAGGGUAUAGGAAAUAAAAUGUGGGGGAAAAAGCAAGGGCAAAUGAACAUAUUUAAAAACAAAAUAAAUCAGCUAUGGAAACACA